This 491-nucleotide ribosomal RNA is filed under the name uncultured bacterium. Its description in RNAcentral is "partial 16S ribosomal RNA". It matches the Rfam family "Bacterial small subunit ribosomal RNA", at positions 29 to 507 of the family's 1533-position model. The record is from RNAcentral.
AGUGAACGCUGGCGGUAGGCCUAACACAUGCAAGUCGAACGGCAGCACAGUAAGAGCUUGCUCUUACGGGUGGCGAGUGGCGGACGGUGAGGAAGACAUCGGAAUCUACUUUUUCGUGGGGGAUAACGUAGGGAAACUUACGCUAAUACCGCAUACGACCUACGGGUGAAAGCAGGGGAUCUUCGGACCUUGCGCGAUUGAAUGAGCCGAUGUCGGAUUAGCUAGUUGGCGGGGUAAAGGCCCACCAAGGCGACGAUCCGUAGCUGGUCUGAGAGGAUGAUCAGCCACACUGGAACUGAGACACGGUCCAGACUCCUACGGGAGGCAGCAGUGGGGAAUAUUGGACAAUGGGCGCAAGCCUGAUCCAGCCAUACCGCGUGGGUGAAGAAGGCCUUCGGGUUGUAAAGCCCUUUUGUUGGGAAAGAAAAGCAGCAGGUUAAUACCCCGCUGUUCUGACGGUACCCAAAGAAUAAGCACCGGCUAACUUCGUG